ACGCACGCUGGCGGCGUGCUUAACACAUGCAAGUCGGACGGAAAGGCCUCUUUCGGGGGGUACUCGAGUGGCGAACGGGUGAGUAACACGUGAGUAACCUGCCCUUGACUUUGGGAUAACUUCAGGAAACUGGGGCUAAUACCGGAUAGGAGCUCCUGCUGCAUGGUGGGGGUUGGAAAGUUUCGGCGGUUGGGGAUGGACUCGCGGCUUAUCAGCUUGUUGGUGGGGUAGUGGCUUACCAAGGCUUUGACGGGUAGCCGGCCUGAGAGGGUGACCGGCCACAUUGGGACUGAGAUACGGCCCAGACUCCUACGGGAGGCAGCAGUGGGGAAUAUUGCACAAUGGGUGGAAGCCUGAUGCAGCAACGCCGUGUGCGGGAUGACGGCCUUCGGGUUGUAAACCGCUUUCGCUCAUGACGAAGCUUUGUGUGACGGUAGUGGGUAAAGAAGCACCGGCUAACUACGUG
This 466-nucleotide ribosomal RNA is filed under the name uncultured bacterium. Its description in RNAcentral is "partial 16S ribosomal RNA". It matches the Rfam family "Bacterial small subunit ribosomal RNA", at positions 29 to 507 of the family's 1533-position model. The record is from RNAcentral.